Molecule: non-coding RNA, 27 nt
Filed under: Rattus norvegicus (Norway rat)
Lineage: Eukaryota; Metazoa; Chordata; Mammalia; Rodentia; Muridae
Source: RNAcentral
UUUGAAUGGAACAUGUUGCACUACUUA